CUCACUCUGUAGUUCAGAGUUAUUAAUGAAACAAGUAAGUAAAGAAAGACCUAGAUUCAUUUGCGUAACCGUUUGUGUUUUAAGAGUUUCCCUUGGCUUCAUCGUAACAUCGAUAAUUCGAAUCUCAGCAAAUCGCAUUGGCGAUUUUUUUCCUCAACGAAUUUAUAUAAGGGACAUAAUAUGUCUAAAACAACUGGUAGCGUAAAAUGGUUCAACGAAACUAAAGGUUUCGGUUUCCUAACUCAAGACAACGGCGGCGCUGACGUAUUCGUACACUUCCGUGCAAUCGCUUCUGAAGGUUUCAAAACUCUUGCUGAAGGCCAAAAAGUGUCUUUUGAAGUAGAGCAAGGCCCUAAAGGUCUUCAAGCAGCAAACGUUGUUGCUGAGUAAUUCUUACUUUAAGUAAAGAAUUUCAAAAGGUCGCUCAUUGAGCGGCCUUUUUUG
RNAcentral lists this small RNA (444 nucleotides) under Vibrio genomosp. F6 str. FF-238. RNAcentral describes it as "cspA thermoregulator". It matches the Rfam family "cspA thermoregulator". Lineage: Bacteria; Pseudomonadati; Pseudomonadota; Gammaproteobacteria; Vibrionales; Vibrionaceae. The record is from Rfam by way of RNAcentral.